AAUACGACCGUACCGCAAACCGACACUGGUGCGCGAGAUGAGUAUUCUAAGGCGCUUGAGAGAACUCAGGAGAAGGAACUCGGCAAAUUGACACCGUAACUUCGGAAGAAGGUGUGCCCUAUUAGUGUGUAGUGAACAACGAAGCAUGAAUGGGUUGCAAAAAAUCGCUGGCUGCGACUGUUUAUUAAAAACACAGCACUCUGCAAACACGAAAGUGGACGUAUAGGGUGUGACGCCUGCCCGGUGCUGGAAGAUUAAAUGAUGGGGUGCAAGCUCUUGAUUGAAGUCCCAGUAAACGGCGGCCGUAACAAUAACGGUCCUAAGGUAGCGAAAUUCCUUGUCGGGUAAGUUCCGACCUGCACGAAUGGCGUAACGAUGGCCACACUGUCUCCUCCUGAGACUCAGCGAAGUUGAAAUGUUUGUGAUGAUGCAAUCUCCCCGCGGAAAGACGGAAAGACCCCAUGAACCUUUACUGUAGCUUUGUAUUGGACUUUGAACAGAUCUGUGUAGGAUAGGUGGGAGGCUUUGAAGCAGGGUCGCUAGAUCUUGUGGAGCCAACGUUGAAAUACCACCCUGGUGUGUUUGAGGUUCUAACCUAGGUCCAUUAUCUGGAUCGGGGACAGUGCAUGGUAGGCAGUUUGACUGGGGCGGUCUCCUCCCAAAGCGUAACGGAGGAGUUCGAAGGUACGCUAGUUACGGUCGGACAUCGUGACGAUAGUGCAAUGGCAUAAGCGUGCUUAACUGCGAGACUGACAAGUCGAGCAGAUGCGAAAGCAGGACAUAGUGAUCCGGUGGUUCUGUAUGGAAGGGCCAUCGCUCAACGGAUAAAAGGUACUCUGGGGAUAACAGGCUGAUACCGCCCAAGAGUUCAUAUCGACGGCGGUGUUUGGCACCUCGAUGUCGGCUCAUCUCAUCCUGGGGCUGUAGCCGGUCCCAAGGGUAUGGCUGUUCGCCAUUUAAAGAGGUACGUGAGCUGGGUUUAAAACGUCGUGAGACAGUUUGGUCCCUAUCUUCCGUGGGCGCUGCAGAUUUGAGGAAGCCUGCUCCUAGUACGAGAGGACCGGAGUGGACACACCUCUGGUGUAUCGGUUGUCACGCCAGUGGCAUUGCCGAGUAGCUAAGUGUGGAAGAGAUAACCGCUGAAAGCAUCUAAGCGGGAAACUCGUUUCAAGAUGAGAUCUGCCGGGGCCUUGAGCCCCCUAAAGAGUCGUUCAAGACCAGGACGUUGAUAGGUCAGGUGUGGAAGCGAAU
This 1251-nucleotide ribosomal RNA is filed under the name metagenome. RNAcentral describes it as "bacterial LSU rRNA". It matches the Rfam family "Bacterial large subunit ribosomal RNA", at positions 1635 to 2878 of the family's 2925-position model. The record is from RNAcentral.